AUGUGUGAGGGGAUAAGAACUGCUGAGUUCGCUUGCACUGGGUACACCACAGUUUGCAGCACAGAAUGGAAAACAGCCUCGGGGGCAGUUGCUCCCAUACUAUGCCGGUUACUGAGGAAAUGUACUUUGCAUGAAGAAGGCUGUACUAGUUCAUCUGGGUGUGAGCAGAAACAUGUCUUGUUGAUACUUCUGGAAUCCCUUACCACACUUCGGUCUCCUGCAAGACACAGCCCAGGGGAAAACAUUGUAAAAAACAAUAAAGAGGGAAGUACAGACAAAGGUAAGGAAUAUUUUGCAAAUAUAACUGUUGAUAAAAAAGCAAGAAAGACUAAUUGGAUUAACCAAUAGCAAAGCAUGAAGAAUCAAUGCAAUAUGUUUUUUUGUUUUAUUUUCCCUUUUUUUUUUCAGUAAGAAGGGAACUGCCUAAAUAAUUCAUCAAGUCAAAGAAAACAGUGGAAAUAUCAGAGGAAUCAGGGAAGAAAAUGUGGUAUUGCUCUUCAGUGAAAUAAAAAGUGACACAACUGUCA
This 527-nucleotide long non-coding RNA is filed under the name Anser cygnoides (Swan goose). Its description in RNAcentral is "lncRNA (ENSACDG00005014665.1)". The record is from RNAcentral. Lineage: Eukaryota; Metazoa; Chordata; Aves; Anseriformes; Anatidae.